AGCCUGACCCAGCAAUACCGCGUGAGGGAUGAAGGCCUUCGGGUCGUAAACCUCUGUCAGCAGGAACGAUGGGUCUCCGUGCUAAUACCACGGAGACUUGACGGUACCUGCAAAGGAAGCCCCGGCUAACUCCGUGCCAGCAGCCGCGGUAAUACGGAGGGGGCAAGCGUUGCUCGGAAUUACUGGGCGUAAAGGGUCCGCAGGUGGCCUCGUAAGUUGAAUGUGAAAUCUCAGGGCUUAACCCUGAAACUGCAUCCAAUACUGCGGGGCUUGAGUCCAAGAGAGGUUGGCGGAAUUCCCGGUGUAGCGGUGAAAUGCGUAAAUAUCGGGAGGAACACCAGUGGCGAAGGCGGCCAACUGGCUUGGAACUGACACUCAGGGACGAAAGCGUGGGUAGCGAACCGGAUUAGAUACCCGGGUAGUCCACGCCCUAAACGAUGGAUGCUAGGUGUGGGGAUGAAAAUCUCUGUGCCGAAGUUAACGCAUUAAGCAUCCCGCCU
Molecule: ribosomal RNA, 500 nt
Filed under: uncultured bacterium
Lineage: Bacteria
Description: bacterial SSU rRNA
Rfam family: Bacterial small subunit ribosomal RNA
Source: RNAcentral